GACGAACACGAACUGACAAAAGCCCCCGUAGUGAAAGCAGAAGUAAAGGAAAUAAAAGGUCUGUAUGUUUUCGUGGUAUUUCACACCGUAAGUUGUUGACGAUCCCUGCGGGCUACAUCACGAUCCUGUCAACAGCUGAAGAAAGAGAAAGAGAGAGGAGGGACAGAGAGGGACAGAGAGGCAGGGGGACGUGGAGGAGAAAACCAUACCAAAAGCAGCAGGGAAAUCACUGUCUGCGUGACUGUGGCUGCGUUUUCAGACUGAAAGUGAUCAGUGAGCUGAGAAUCGCAGCAGAAGGGGGUUCUGAUCACAGCGCUGGAGGAAGUGAAGCGGGCCGGAGGGAUGAGAACAGAUCGAACCGCUACACCACCCGACCUGUAAGACUGAAGAUAGAGGACUGCUGAUCAGCUGACCGUGUUUGGUAGGGUUAGGACUAAAGUGAGGCUAGACUGGUUUAGAUCAGAGGAGAGAGAGAGAGAGAGAGAGAGAGAGAGAGAGAGAGAGAGAGCGAGAGCACAGAGACAUAGUUUACAUCGAGAGAGUAGAACGGGAGCUCGAGAGGAAUCACCUCAAUCCAACAGAAGUAACUGAGGCUCCAGCCGCUCUGCUCCCUGCGCGGGUUAAACAAAGGAAGUGCAUCCCCUCUGGAUCUGAAUAAACGUGUGGUUCUCUCUGUGCCUUUUACAGCCAGCUCCACGAAAACACAGAAGUCAGAGACUCGUCCUUAACUCCUGCCGCCACUGGUGUCCUGGUGAGUUUGGGCGCUGCUCUGUCCACCGUCCCAAUGAAGGAGGCCGACGCAAUAAAGCUCUUCAUCGGGCAGAUCCCACGGAAUCUAGAGGAGAAGGACCUCAAGCCCAUCUUCGAGCAGUUCGGGAAAAUCUAUGAGCUGACAGUGAUCAAGGACAAAUACACUGGCAUGCAUAAAGGAUGUGCCUUUCUGACAUACUGUGCACGGGAGUCAGCCCUCAAAGCCCAGACAGCUCUGCAUGAGCAAAAGACACUGCCAGGGAUGAAUCGGCCCAUUCAGGUGAAGCCUGCAGACAGUGAGGGAAGAGGAGAGGACAGGAAGUUGUUUGUAGGGAUGUUGGGGAAACAGCAGGAGGAUGAUGAUGUGAGGAAGAUGUUUGAGCCUUUUGGCAGAAUUGAUGAGUGUACAGUACUGAGAGCACCUGAUGGAACUAGCAAAGGUUGUGCGUUUGUGAAGUUCCAAAGCCAUGCUGAAGCUCAAGCAGCCAUUAACAGCCUUCAUGGAAGCAGGACGCUACCUGGUGCAUCCUCCAGUCUGGUGGUGAAGUUUGCCGACACAGAGAAGGAGCGAGGGCUGCGCCGCAUGCAGCAAGUAGCCUCACAGCUGGCCGUCUUCAGCCCCAUGACCCUCAACCUGGGGGCAUACAAUGCUUACACACAGGCUUUAGUACAACAGCAGACCCUGGUCGCACAGUCUGCCUACUUGUCACCCAUAGCAACAGUUGCCGCGGUGCAGAUGCAGCAGAUGGCAGCUCUCAAUGGCAAUGGCAUCAUAGCCACACCUAUCACUCCCAUCACACCAAUCACACCUUCCUCAGGCACAAACACCCCACCUGCUAUUGCAGCGACACCUGUGCCUGCCCUGCCUCCACCAGUCGGAAUCAGCGGUUACAGUCCUGUACCUGCAGCAGCCAAUGGUCAGCCAGCAUCUGAGACAAUCUACACCAACGGCAUUCACCCGUAUCAAGCCCAGAGUUCGGCUGGUGUGUUGGAUCCCCUCCAGCAGGCUUAUGCUGGGAUGCAGCACUAUACAGCGGCCUACCCCGCUGCCUAUGGACUGGUCAGCACCCCGUUUCCACAGCAACAUACACUGGUUCCUCAGCAACAGCAGCAGCAACAGCAGCGAGAAGGUGAUGUCAUUUCCUGUCCUGAGGGCUGUAAUAUCUUCAUUUAUCACUUACCCCAGGAGUUCACAGACUCAGAACUGCUGCAGAUGUUUCUGCCGUUUGGAAAUGUCAUCUCUGCUAAAGUGUUUGUGGACAGGGCCACCAAUCAGAGCAAAUGUUUUGGUUUCGUAAGCUUUGAUAACCCCACGAGUGCUCAGACUGCCAUCCAGGCCAUGAACGGCUUCCAGAUCGGAAUGAAGCGCCUCAAAGUUCAGCUGAAGAGACCAAAAGAUGCUAACAGGCCAUACUGAGACAGGUGAGAGGGGAAGAGGAGGGAAAGGGCAGAGAGGAUGAGUGUAGAGAGAGGACAGGAGGGCAGAAUAGAAGGCCAGCACAGAGAUGAGAGAAGAACUGAGGAUUUUUCAGGAGUCAUCUGGAGGCCAGACUGUGCCAGUACCGUCUCUUUCCAACAGCUUUUACCUACCUGGGCAUUGAUGACUUUGAGUGGUGAUGAUAAGCCACUCACAGCACAGCUUGAUUUGGCAAGUUAGCUCAAAUAGUGGAAAACACUUUUCACAUUCUUCAGAUUGUCUUACUUUAAUCUGAGGUAAAAUACAUUGUGUCCUUCAAUGCCCAGGACUUGCCAGUGAGUCCAGGCUUAUAUUUUUCACUCACCCUUACUUAAGUCUUAGGAUGUAAUCAACGACAGAAUCAGACUCAGAACAGUCGAGGCUUUUAAAAUGAUUUAGCUGAACAAAGACAAGUUCAGUUUAACCUUUAGUAUUUAUGCAUGAUGUUUUGUGGCCUCCGCUUUGAUAAAUCUGCAGAAAUGUCACCUUUCUUUAUUUUUUCUGUGUUUUUUUCCCUGAAAUCUACAAAUCACACCCCAAGGUCCACACGUCACGCCGUUUAUCACGGGAGGUGCCGUCGCAAUGGCUAUGCCUUCAGUUGCAUAGCAACAGAUUAUGUCCUUCCCUUACGUCUCCCACUUGUAGUAAGUUAAUUGGCCUGUGUUUGGGUUGCCGUGGCGACUGCCUGUGUUUGGGCUGCCGUGGCGACCAGUCAUGCGCUGGGCUGCAUGCCGUGUUGCCGUGGCUACAAUGGACUGAGUCUAGUGCAUUGUGAUUUUAUUGAUCUCUUGACAAUCUGAUCGGCUGCUGUGCGACAAGAUUUGAGGACUCACGUAUGAUGACCAGUUUCUUAUCCCUUCUCUCUCUCUAUCUCUAUCACACUGUCUCCCACUCUCUCUGUCUCUCUCUCUCUCUCUCUCUCUCUCUCUGUCUCUCUCUCUUUCUCUCUCUUUCUCUCUCUUUCUUUUUCUCCUGACCAGUGUUGUAUUUUACAGUUUGUUUUUAACCUGUUUUGUGGUCCUCUGAUGAUAUGGUGUGAUGACACUCACUGAUGUGCUCUUUAUGUAGGACGUGUUGUGUGUGUGUGUGUGUGUGUGUGUGUGUGUGUGUGUGUGUGUGUGCGCGUGUGUGUGUGUGUGUGAUGUAGAUGAGACAUCCUUUUCUGAUUUUUUUCCAUAUUUAUCUACAGCAUGACAAAUACACAAACAGCUUUUCCUUCAGAUUCUGAUAGUGUCUGCCCAUACUUUCUCUCUAUUUGUAUCUCCCUCUCUCUUUUUCUCUGUUGCUUGCUCUGUCUCACUCUCUUCCUCCCUCCACUCUUCCCGUCUCAGUUCCUCUCUCUCUCUAUCAUUUUGAGGGUGCAAAUGGCUGAGAUGGUAAAAGAGGUUCAGAGCGGAGUUCAGAGCUGACUGGAUUGCUCAUCACACUACACUACACACACACACACACACACACACACACACACACACACACACACACACACACACACAUACACAUAAUCACACAAACAUGCACACACAUAAAAAUGUGUAAAUGGAACAUGUUCAUGUUUUAACAUUAUGUACAUAAGUUACUCAUAUGCACACACACAUGCACAUCCCCAUGCAUCCUGAAGGAUGAUAAAUGAGAGAGAAAGCAACAUGUAUAAAAUAAGAGUCACUCACUCACUACCAUUCAUGGAUUUCCAUGUCCAAAAGAGACAAUAAGUACUGAAGCGAAUAAAAAAGAAAAUAAAUAGCUUAGCUCUGCUGCAGUAAAAGGACCUUUAUCAGGUGUAAAUAAACUAGUUUGAAGAACUGAAAUGGUGAAAAACAAGAAUAAAAAAAUGAGUAUAGUUUACAUGAAAAUAAUAACAAUACUCACUAAUGUUGUUAUUAUUAUUAUUAUUGUUAUUAUUUUUAUUAUUAUUAUUAUUAUUAUGGUAAAUAUCUUUUGAAAAACUUUUCAAUUAAAAUUUCUACUUUUUCUUGAAGUAUGGGAGACGGGUUCAGGAGUUUUUUUGGGGUAGGUUUUAAUACUUGAGCUAUUUUUUAUUUAUUGAUUAAUUUAUCAAAUUUUAAAAUAUAUAUUUACUGUAAAUGCAGGUUUUAGGUUGGUUGGGAUGCAAUUUCUUAAUUUUACAUUGUUCAUUUUUUUAAGAAAUCCAUUUAAGCAGAUGUACGACUUUGUAAUUGAACAAUUAUUGAACUAUGAAUUACGGUGAUAUUUAUUUCUUAUUUAUUGACUAAUUUUUGAUUCCGUCUUUCUUUCUAACUCAAAUAAAAUACAACUAUGAUGCAAGACAUGUAGAAUGUCGAUUUGUGCACAUAUCUGUGCGUGUGUGUAUGUGUGUGUGCGUGUAAACAUGUACAUUUUCCCUGCUAAAAAAAUACGUAAAUAAACACAUUAAAAACCUAUAGAAACCA
Pygocentrus nattereri (red-bellied piranha) is the source of this 4611-nucleotide RNA transcript. It is a transcript of the gene named cugbp, Elav-like family member 3b, with no coding region annotated. The transcript has 15 exons. The record is from RefSeq and is a predicted model, not a curated record. Lineage: Eukaryota; Metazoa; Chordata; Actinopteri; Characiformes; Serrasalmidae.